AAUAAAUAAAUAAAUAAAUAAAUAAAUAAUAAAGUAAAAUGCUGGGUUGAGACCGCUGGGUAGGACGCUGGGUUGUUUUAAUCCAAUUUUGUGUUGAAAAUUGGUCUUGAUCAUAACCCAGCGGCACUGGGUUGGGAAAGCGGACGUGAAAGAGAGCACGCAUGUCAUGUUAACAUCGGACGACGCCAGUGCGAGAAGCCGCCAUUUUCUCGGCCUGAAAGUGAGAAGAGUGAAAGACAUUAUGACUUGUUGAGCUUGUGUCUUGUGCCGGGAGUUAACUAACGUUACACAGAGGCCUGCUUUUGUGGGGGGGUUUCCUCAGCUUCUUCAGAAGAGCGGGAAUAGACUGUUUUAAGAACUCAAACCAACUUUUGAGUUGUCUGAUUUGGGGAGUUAUCAUUCUUGGUCUUCCUUUCUUAAAGGAAUAGUUCACACAAAAAAUAAUUUACUUGCCCUCAUGUCAUUCUAAACCUAAAAGACUUGUCUGUCUUUAGAAUACAAAUGAAUACAUUUAAUUUU
Molecule: long non-coding RNA, 519 nt
Organism: Cyprinus carpio carpio
Lineage: Eukaryota; Metazoa; Chordata; Actinopteri; Cypriniformes; Cyprinidae
Source: Ensembl